This 471-nucleotide ribosomal RNA is filed under the name uncultured bacterium. Its description in RNAcentral is "partial 16S ribosomal RNA". It matches the Rfam family "Bacterial small subunit ribosomal RNA", at positions 29 to 507 of the family's 1533-position model. The record is from RNAcentral.
ACGCACGCUGGCGGCGUGCUUAACACAUGCAAGUCGAACGCUGAAGCUUGGUGCUUGCACUGGGUGGAUGAGUGGCGAACGGGUGAGUAAUACGUGAGUAACCUGCCCUUGACUCUGGGAUAAGCCUGGGAAACUGGGUCCAAUACUGGAUACGACAUGUCACCGCAUGGUGGCGUGUGGAAAGGGUUUUACUGGUUUUGGAUGGGCUCACGGCCUAUCAGCUUGUUGGUGGGGUAAUGGCUCACCAAGGCGACGACGGGUAGCCGGCCUGAGAGGGUGACCGGCCACACUGGGACUGAGACACGGCCCAGACUCCUACGGGAGGCAGCAGUGGGGAAUAUUGCACAAUGGGCGGAAGCCUGAUGCAGCGACGCCGCGUGAGGGAUGACGGCCUUCGGGUUGUAAACCUCUUUCAGCACGGAAGAAGCGAAAGUGACGGUACGUGCAGAAGAAGCGCCGGCUAACUACGUG